CAGCAGCCACGGGAAUACGAAGGGGGCUAGCGUUGCUCGGAAUUACUGGGCGUAAAGGGGGCGUAGGCGGACAUUUAAGUCAGGGGUGAAAUCCCAGAGCUCAACUCUGGAACUGCCUUUGAUACUGGGUGUCUUGAGUGUGAUAGAGGUAUGUGGAACUCCGAGUGUAGAGGUGAAAUUCGUAGAUAUUCGGAAGAACACCAGUGGCGAAGGCGACAUACUGGAUCAUUACUGACGCUGAGGCUCGAAAGCGUGGGGAGCAAACAGGAUUAGAUACCCCGGUAGUCCCUGUCUCUUAUAC
Molecule: ribosomal RNA, 301 nt
Filed under: uncultured bacterium
Lineage: Bacteria
Description: partial 16S ribosomal RNA
Rfam family: Bacterial small subunit ribosomal RNA
Source: RNAcentral